This 110-nucleotide small nuclear RNA is filed under the name Myotis davidii. Lineage: Eukaryota; Metazoa; Chordata; Mammalia; Chiroptera; Vespertilionidae. The record is from RNAcentral.
AUUCUCAAUAAAUAUUUGGCAGCACAUAUGCUAAAGGAAUGAUACAGAGAAGGUUAGCAUGGCCCCUGAGUAAGGAUGACAUGCAAAUUCGUGAACUGUUCCAUAUUUUU